CGGACGAACGCUGGCGGCGUGCCUAACACAUGCAAGUCGUACGGAGUUCACUUGGAAGCUUGCUUCCGAGUGAACUUAGUGGCGGACGGGUGAGUAACGCGUGAGCAACCUGCCUCACAGAGGGGGAUAACACACGGAAACGUGUGCUAAUACCGCAUAAUCCGAUGAAGCGGCAUCGCUUUAUCGGCAAAGGAGCAAUCCGCUGAUUGAGGGGCUCGCGUCCCAUUAGAUAGUAGGUGAGGUAACGGCUCACCUAGUCUGCGAUGGGUAGCCGAGCUGAGAGGCUGAACGGCCACACUGGAACUGAGACACGGUCCAGACUCCUACGGGAGGCAGCAGUGGGGAAUAUUGGGCAAUGGGCGAAAGCCUGACCCAGCAACGCCGCGUGAGGGAAGAAGGUCUUCGGGUUGUAAACCUCUUUCAGCAGGGACGAAGGGUGACUGACGGUACCUGUAGAAGAAGCACCGGCCAACUACGUG
RNAcentral lists this ribosomal RNA (479 nucleotides) under uncultured bacterium. Its description in RNAcentral is "bacterial SSU rRNA". It matches the Rfam family "Bacterial small subunit ribosomal RNA", at positions 27 to 507 of the family's 1533-position model. The record is from RNAcentral.